Aquila chrysaetos chrysaetos is the source of this 643-nucleotide long non-coding RNA. RefSeq lists it as uncharacterized. The record is from RefSeq and is a predicted model, not a curated record. The transcript is spliced from 3 exons. Lineage: Eukaryota; Metazoa; Chordata; Aves; Accipitriformes; Accipitridae.
UGGUCACGUACAUUUGUAUAUCAUCAUGAUCAACACUGUAUUUUCCUGAGUUUUAGUCGUCUUUAGCAUUUCUACAGAAGUAAAGCGUUUCCAUGUUUUAAUUUCCCAGUUACCCUCAGAAGACUUGUGAGGCAGGCUGAAUAAUUCCUUUGUGGCAAGGGGAAACUGGAUGUGGCGUUUUGCAUUUCCAUGUGGAUCGUGACCGUCCCCAGGGCGGGAGAGCUCUUGCAGCCAAACCCAGCAGCAAGGAGGGGGACAGAGCAGAGCCCGGUGAUGUUCCUUCACAUAUCCCAGCCAAGGGAGAUCAACAAGACAAGCCAAGAGUCCCACACCUGACAGAGAAAGUGAAGUCUGAAAUGGCACUUCCUUGCUGGUGGCUAUGGAAGUCAAAGGCAGGAAAGCCUGGAGAAAUGAAGAUGAAAUCCUGCAAAUAAAGCAGAUUAGUAGGCCUAGCUUUGCCAGCUGAUACGGUUUUAUCGUGGACUUGCAACUUCAAAAAAAAGUCCCGGCUCCUGCAGACAUGAGAAUGUCAGCUUUAAUUUUCUUAAGUGAAUUGCUAGAACUUGCAGUUGCUGAGAGGAGAUGGAAAACAACUUCCGAGUGCUAAAAAACCCAGAAAACAAAUAAAAAAUAACAUGGCUAA